Non-coding RNA from Pelobates cultripes (western spadefoot toad), 92 nucleotides. The record is from the annotation of a GenBank genome assembly. NCBI's taxonomy places the organism in Eukaryota, Metazoa, Chordata, Amphibia, Anura, Pelobatidae.
ACUACUGCAAGGGAUUCUGGGUAGGCGUAUGCAAACAAGCUCAACAAAGAACCUUUGUUGAGCUCAUUUGCAUACGCCUACCCAGAAUCCUU